This is a non-coding RNA of Anaeramoeba flamelloides, 68 nucleotides long. The record is from the annotation of a GenBank genome assembly. NCBI's taxonomy places the organism in Eukaryota, Anaeramoebidae.
UUAGCUCAGGUGGUAGAGCGUCCAGCUGUAAACUGAUUCGAAAAGGUCGUUGGUUCAAUUCCAACUAA